CUGAGAGGACGAGGAGCACCAGGAGUGUGCCACUGACGGGGCCCAGACAGUGACAGUGGAGCAGAGUGUGGACGGAGCCCAGAGCAGGCGCAGAGACUGACUGCAGUCGAUGGCUUUGAAGAUUCUUAGGGAUGCACAAGAAGGCAGAGGCGGAGUCAGUGUGCUUAUUGCAGAAGUGGUGGUGUGACCUCCGGAGACUGCACCUCCAGAAGCCGUGCACCCUACUGCUCUUAUCCUUACAACCCCAUCACCCUGGGAACAAGACCAGCAUGCUCUGUUCUCUGUUGGAAGAACAGAGGCCACUCGGAGGAGAGUCCAGCUGUCGCAGCUUGCAAGCAUCAGAGAUCUCACACUGCUGAGCCGCAGGCAAUGUGAAGACUCCAAGACGAGGACAAUUCAGACUAAGGAGAGACCAGUUUUGGGCAGCAGUGAAAAGAGAAGGUCAUGAGACAUCUCUGAAGGUCAAUCCAGUCCUCCUGAGUCGUCCCGGAUUUCUCUUUCACGGUGGUUCCAGCCUAAUGGUUGCGGAGCUCCUUUGGCCCCAGCUUCCAUGCAGCACUCGGCGCUGACCCCCGGAGGUCCUGAGAGUCAGAAGUGCAUUUCGCCCAUGCUGCUUGUUAUCGGCUUAGCUUCUGCAGUGGCAGAACAGGAAAGACAUCUCACAGCACUGUGCACCACGCUGCCCUGCACCGAGCUCCUCGUACCUACAAGAAGUGUAUAACAACAGAGCCAGGACACAGGUUUGAGAGGAACAUGUGCCCACUGCAUCCAUCAAUGCCUGCAGGCCUGGGUGCCCAGCAACCACAAGAAACAUCCUGUGCCCUUACAGACUUCUCCCUCCCCAAGUCUCAACCUCCUUUCCUCAAGCCUCAAAAAUUUCUGCUCUCCCCCGAGCACCUGUCCUCCCUUACCCAAAUCACCCCGCUCUUGGCACUGAUGGUCUCUUCGCCCUUGGCCCACCUACACCUAGGCUGAAAUAAACUCCAUUUGUUGCUUUAACUUUGCCUGAUUCAG
This is a long non-coding RNA of Fukomys damarensis (Damara mole-rat), 1014 nucleotides long. RefSeq lists it as uncharacterized. The transcript is spliced from 5 exons. The record is from RefSeq and is a predicted model, not a curated record. Lineage: Eukaryota; Metazoa; Chordata; Mammalia; Rodentia; Bathyergidae.